UGGGGAAUAUUGCACAAUGGGCGCAAGCCUGAUGCAGCCAUGCCGCGUGUAUGAAGAAGGCCUUCGGGUUGUAAAGUACUUUCAGCGGGGAGGAAGGGAGUAAAGUUAAUACCUUUGCUCAUUGACGUUACCCGCAGAAGAAGCACCGGCUAACUCCGUGCCAGCAGCCGCGGUAAUACGGAGGGUGCAAGCGUUAAUCGGAAUUACUGGGCGUAAAGCGCACGCAGGAGGUUUGUUAAGUCAGAUGUGAAAUCCCCGGGCUCAACCUGGGAACUGCAUCUGAUACUGGGCAGCUUGAGUCUCGUAGAGGGGGGUAGAAUUCCAGGUGUAGCGGUGAAAUGCGUAGAGAUCUGGAGGAAUACCGGUGGCGAAGGCGGCCCCCUGGACGAAGACUGACGCUCAGGUGCGAAAGAGUGGGGAGCAAACAGG
RNAcentral lists this ribosomal RNA (429 nucleotides) under Chloroflexota bacterium. Its description in RNAcentral is "Chloroflexi bacterium partial 16S ribosomal RNA". It matches the Rfam family "Bacterial small subunit ribosomal RNA", at positions 355 to 776 of the family's 1533-position model. Lineage: Bacteria; Bacillati; Chloroflexota. The record is from RNAcentral.